RNAcentral lists this transfer RNA (104 nucleotides) under Cylindrobasidium torrendii FP15055 ss-10. It matches the Rfam family "tRNA". Rfam says of the family: Transfer RNA (tRNA) molecules are approximately 80 nucleotides in length. Their secondary structure includes four short double-helical elements and three loops (D, anti-codon, and T loops). Further hydrogen bonds mediate the characteristic L-shaped molecular structure. tRNAs have two regions of fundamental functional importance: the anti-codon, which is responsible for specific mRNA codon recognition, and the 3' end, to which the tRNAs corresponding amino acid is attached (by aminoacyl-tRNA synthetases). tRNAs cope with the degeneracy of the genetic code in two manners: having more than one tRNA (with a specific anti-codon) for a particular amino acid; and 'wobble' base-pairing, i.e. permitting non-standard base-pairing at the 3rd anti-codon position. The record is from Rfam by way of RNAcentral. Lineage: Eukaryota; Fungi; Basidiomycota; Agaricomycetes; Agaricales; Physalacriaceae.
GCCUUCUUGGCUCAGUUGGCUAGAGCGCAGGUCUCAUACUUUCGUGUGAUCAAGCGAUGGCUUGAGUAAUCCUGAGGUCGCAAGUUCGAGCCUUGCAGAGGGCA